UACCCCUUGGCCAUAUCGCC
Molecule: transfer RNA, 20 nt
Filed under: Goniomitrium acuminatum
Lineage: Eukaryota; Viridiplantae; Streptophyta; Bryopsida; Funariales; Funariaceae
Description: partial tRNA-Cys
Source: RNAcentral